CUCAGUUCGGAUUGGAGUCUGNAACCCGACUCCAUGAAGCUGGAUUCGCUAGUAAUCGCGCAUCAGCCACGGCGCGGUGAAUACGUUCCCGGGCCUUGUACACACCGCCCGUCAAGCCAUGGGAGCCGGGAGUGCCUGAAGUACGUGACCGCAAGGAGCGUCCUAGGGUAAGACCGGUGACUGGGGCUAAGUCGUAACAAGGUAUC
Molecule: ribosomal RNA, 206 nt
Filed under: uncultured bacterium
Lineage: Bacteria
Description: partial 16S ribosomal RNA
Rfam family: Bacterial small subunit ribosomal RNA
Source: RNAcentral